GACGAACGCUGGCGGCGUGCUUAACACAUGCAAGUCGAACGGACAGGCCCUGCUUUUGUUGGUUUCUCGAGUGGCGAACGGGUGAGUAACACGUGAGUAACCUGCCCUUGACUUUGUGAUAACUUCAGGAAACUGGGGCUCAUACCGGAUAGGAUCUCCUGCUGCAUGGUGGGCGUUGGAAAGUUUCGGCGGUUGGGGAUGGACUCGCGGCUUAUCAGCUUGUUGGUGAGGUAGUUGCUUACCAAGGCUUUGACGGGUAGCCGGCCUGGGAGGGUGACCGGGGUCAAUGGGACUGAGGGAGGGCCCAGAAGGGUACGGGAGGCAACAGGGGGGAGUAUUACACAAUGGGGGGAAGCGAGAGGCAGAGACGCCGGGAGCGGGAUGACGGGCUUCGGGGGGUGAACAGAUGUCGAAGGAGACGAAGAGGGAGUGACGGUAAUGGGUAAAGAAGCACCGGCUAACUACGUG
RNAcentral lists this ribosomal RNA (468 nucleotides) under uncultured bacterium. RNAcentral describes it as "partial 16S ribosomal RNA". It matches the Rfam family "Bacterial small subunit ribosomal RNA", at positions 28 to 507 of the family's 1533-position model. The record is from RNAcentral.